Molecule: ribosomal RNA, 301 nt
Filed under: uncultured bacterium
Lineage: Bacteria
Description: partial 16S ribosomal RNA
Rfam family: Bacterial small subunit ribosomal RNA
Source: RNAcentral
CAGUCGCCGCGGUAAUACGGAGGGUGCAAGCGUUAAUCGGAAUUACUGGGCGUAAAGCGCACGCAGGCGGUCUGACAAGUCAGAUGUGAAAUCCCCGGGCUUAACCUGGGAACUGCAUUUGAAACUGUCAGGCUGGAGUCUUGUAGAGGGGGGUGGAAUUCCAAGUGUAGCGGUGAAAUGCGUAGAGAUCUGGAGGAAUACCGGUGGCGAAGGCGGCCCCCUGGACAAAGACUGACGCUCAGGUGCGAAAGCGUGGGGAGCAAACAGGAUUAGAUACCCCUGUAGUCCCUGUCUCUUAUAC